ACACACACACACACACACACACACACACACACACCCCCCAUGAGGGACACAGUCCUAUCAACACACAAGGCACCUUUAUUGCCGUCCUCAGCACCUGGCCCAGUUGCGGCUGUGCCCUUUUUGACUGUCCAUCUAGAACACCAACCCUACAAGGGCAGAGGACCAGGUGCACCUCGGCUCACACCCCAUGGAUGCUCGGCUUGAGCCCAGUGCCUGGCACGCAAGAGCACCAUGCACACUUGGUGAAAUAACUGAAUGAGUACACAUUCAGCAGGUAGAAGCAAAGAAAAGAGAGACCAUCUAUGGUGGUGGGAAAGUGGGGGCUGAUGCAGGAGAUGUAUUUUUAAGGGGAAUGCCCACCAUUCACUUACUCUUAACAAUUCGAAUGCAUAACACUGCCCCAUGUGCAUAGGAAAAAGAUCCCGUUACUGCCCAUGAUAGAACCCGUUAUGUGCCUGCUUUGUAAGGACUCUAAAUACUCCUCUGUAAUUCAAGGUAAAAAUGGAAAGUCAACACGAGUGUCUGGAACCAAGUCAAUGUGAACAGGGGGUCAGAGGAACGUGCACAAGGCCUGAAGCUAGACUGGCUCACGCAUGAGAAAGAGAUUCCGUUGAUCCUGAAGGCAGUGGCGAGCUGCUUUUCAACAGGAGAGUGAAGUGCUCAGACUGGGGGACAGCUCUGACCCCAAAUCAUCAUCCAUUUAUUCAUGAGGCAGAAACAGAAUAUUAGUCUCUGCACGGUUUCCUGGGCCAGCUUCCGGUUGGUAAGUAUCCUGAACAGGGCGCAGGAGGGCUGUUCUCGCGAUGGCCCUGAAGAAGAGCCUGCCCACGGUGUCUCUGUUACUGAAACCGAAGUCGAAGCUGGAGUUAUGCUGAGUGUAGGAUGUGAAAACAUGGAUCUUAGCCUUGAUUAGAAAGUCCUAAAACACCAACUAACUCGGAACCAAAACCAGAACAAACAGUUCUCUUUUGCUGAAGUAUCUGUGUGUGUGUGUGUGUGUUUUCCUGGAACCUGGAACCAAACUAAAGUUAUUUGAUUUGGUGA
Molecule: non-coding RNA, 1044 nt
Organism: Macaca mulatta (Rhesus monkey)
Lineage: Eukaryota; Metazoa; Chordata; Mammalia; Primates; Cercopithecidae
Source: RefSeq, a predicted model, not a curated record